Anneissia japonica is the source of this 997-nucleotide long non-coding RNA. RefSeq lists it as uncharacterized. NCBI's taxonomy places the organism in Eukaryota, Metazoa, Echinodermata, Crinoidea, Comatulida, Comatulidae. The transcript is spliced from 4 exons. The record is from RefSeq and is a predicted model, not a curated record.
AAGGGAACACUGGGCCACCUGGACCACCAGGAGGCCCAGCAGUUAAUCCGAUAGACCCAUGUACUUCCAAUCCCUGUGUGAAUGGGAUCUGUAGAAAGUCAGGCUCUUCUUAUUCAUGCAUUUGUAAUCGAUGUUAUUCAGGAAGCAGAUGUCAAUACUAUGAUUCUAAACGCUGCUUAAUCGAGCCCUUUGAGCCUCUGGAGCUGCCACUGAAGUAGAUGGUCGUCUAAAGUAGUAGCUUCAGUCUUGCACAUCAAUCUUGCACGACAAUCUCCUUUUCUAUCCGUGCAGAUCAUCGCGCACUUGGGUCUUGAUAAGCAGGGCCACCAAUAUAAACAUUUUUCUCAGUAGUACUAAUAACUAGUGACUGAUUAAGACGCAUUUUAUUUUUUUAAUUAUUAUUAUUUUUGUACAGGUCUCCCUCUAAUGAAAGGCCCCUCCAACUGAAGACCACCUCCAAUUAAAGACCACUUUUCUGUGGUCCCAAAUUAACCAGUCUUUUAUUUUUAUUAUUCUAAUUAGAGACCAAAGCUGCUAAAGACCAUAAAAACCCUGUCCCAAGAGUGGUCUGUAAUUGGAUUCUGUAAUUGAAAUAUUGUGAAUGUAAUAAUACGGUAGCUUUUUAACAAGUCAGAUUUAAAGCUAAAUUUACUUAAAUAAAUCAGCUAGUAUUAAAUUGAUCAUCACAUUAAGUGGUUCUUAUAAUAAAAUUGUGUGUUGCGUUUUUAGAUUGUCUUCAUGAUGGGACAUGAAUGCAAAUACAGUGGCUAUGGUUAAACCAGUUUCAACGAAUUCCUAAUUCCUAUUGGAUGUUAUUGUCCUAAUCCAAUCUAUUCAUACAGUAGCAUCCAGUCACACUGUUACUGAGUACCGGUACAGUUUUAUUUUCAAAUACUAGUUGAAAGUACUGUAGGAAACAAUAUUUUAUCUGCUGUAUUUUAUUUACCUUUAAAAAUCUUUGAUUAUCUCGUUGUUUAUAGUUUUGUAUUGUUUUGUA